AGAGUUUGAUCCUGGCUCAGAUUGAACGCUGGCGGAAUGCUUUACACAUGCAAGUCGAGCGGCAGCGCGGGGCAACCUGGCGGCGAGCGGCGGACGGGUGAGUAAUGCAUCGGAACAUGUCCAUUCGUGGGGGAUAGCCCGGCGAAAGCCGGAUUAAUACCGCGUACGCCCGAGAGGGGAAAGCUGGGGACCGCAAGGCCUGGCGCGAUUGGGUUGGCCGAUGUCCGAUUAGCUAGUUGGUGAGGUAAAGGCUCACCAAGGCGACGAUCUGUAGCUGGUCUGAGAGGACGACCAGCCACACUGGGACUGAGACACGGCCCAGACUCCUACGGGAGGCAGCAGUGGGGAAUAUUGGACAAUGGGCGCAAGCCUGAUCCAGCCAUGCCGCGUGAGUGAUGAAGGCCCUAGGGUUGUAAAGCUCUUUCAGCGGGUAAGAUAAUGACGGUACUCGCCGAAGAAGCCCCGGAUAACUUCGUGCCAGCAGCCG
This 487-nucleotide ribosomal RNA is filed under the name uncultured bacterium. Its description in RNAcentral is "bacterial SSU rRNA". It matches the Rfam family "Bacterial small subunit ribosomal RNA", at positions 8 to 517 of the family's 1533-position model. The record is from RNAcentral.